AUGGCUGCUACUAAGGAGGCAGAUCACUGCAUCAAAUAUCUGGACUGUUCUGUGUUGCAAGGUCAGGUCAUAAUUGUUGAGAAGUACUCUACACAGAACAUUUUAUUGUUUUGUCUUCACCACCGAGAAUCCGAGAUCGCCUCCCAUAGCCUCCACAUCCACAAGGUCCUGCUUGACUGCGACGACGUCCAGGCUGAUGCCCUCAUCGUGGAUCGACUCGCCUCGCUCUAGAAGGAGUGGCCCCUCUGGAGUUGAAUAUGCAGUUAUAACCAAUUUUUACCCCUUUUAUCCUAGAAGAGUU
This is a long non-coding RNA of Zea mays, 301 nucleotides long. RefSeq lists it as uncharacterized. The transcript is spliced from 3 exons. The record is from RefSeq and is a predicted model, not a curated record. Lineage: Eukaryota; Viridiplantae; Streptophyta; Magnoliopsida; Poales; Poaceae.